UUUUCUUAGGUGAAGUGGGUUGUGUUGUAUUCAUUCAUCUCAACAUGUUUUGAGUCGAAUAAAAGAAAACUAUUCGCACAAGCCUCCUUCGCUAGCCAAUGAGCAGCUCCAUUAGCCGAGCGUCCCACCCAUGCCACACAGAACUCCUGGGUUGAUCGCAUGGAUUCCUUUACCUCCUCAACAAUAGGGCCAUAGACUGAUCUAUCAAAUUCUUAGCUUCUUAAUAACUCACAUCAUCUACUGCCGCCCCCCCUACUUUCUCCGUAAACGUCUGAAACGUCCGCCCCGGUCAGUGCCCGGUCAAAAAUGAGUGACCCAACCGGACCCUCACUUUAUCCCUAAAUGUCCGGACUGACCGAUAUACCUUAGACCCAUCUCAAAUCUAGGGGCAGGAUGGGCUACGGUCACGCCCGGGUACCCGCUCGGUCCCACCUGCAACCACCCAAUCUUUCUUUCUCGCCUCUCUCACAUGGAGCAUGGAACGAUGCCAACACAGGGGAGGAGGUGGCUCGCGACGAUGAUGAGGUGAGCAGAGGAGGCUGCUGACAGCGUGGACGAUGGUGGGGGAGGCACCUGACGACCUCGCGCGACCACCACAUGUACCUACUGUCCAAAGCCGCAUGCAACCGUGGGCACGUCGACGGGUCACCGCAGCCUUGUGUUGGCCGUCGGCGAGCGAGCGUGCUCGCCUGCGGGUAGGCGGGCGAGCAUGAUGGAUGCCGCCACAGCCGCUUGUUGUCUAGCCUAGCUGUGGGGAUGCUAGCUGCCGUAGCUGGCACAACCCCGGCCUGGCCGUCGUGUGCGGGUGGGCAAUUGGGACUUAAUCUUGAUUUCAAUGUUUCUGCAUGUUUGUUUUUAGUGAUGCAUGCAGUUUAGAUUGUCCAGGAAAAAAACAUUGCAUAUAUAUUAUACACUUCUUAAUCUUCCAUAAAAACACAUAGGUGAUUAACAAACUCCAUGUUCAUAAAAAUACAAUAAAUUAGUCUAAUUGGUAUUGUCAGCUAAGAAGAUCAACGACCUUCUUGAGCAGUACCAAAAAAUAGCUGAGUUAAGUCAAUUUUGCCAAUCAUACUCACCCCGCUCUGUAAGCGGCCACAAUUAUUGACCGCGGCUGAGGUCUGCUCCUUCCCACGCAAAAGGCGGCGGGGCCCUCUCCAAAUUGCCAGUGCUCUUUAACCGGGACGGUGACUGUUCCAAGGCCUUGUCGGAGAUGUAAUCUUGCCUCCAUCCUUACCGGGUACAUCCAGUUUUGCUCAUGACAACAAGAUCAUCCUUAUAUUUUGGCAAGCCUAAAGAGUUUUAGUGUAGUGUUCACGUUUCCUUUCACAAAUGGAAUAGAGGAAAUUGAACCACAGAGCAAUAUAAUAAUGUAGCUCUUUCACCAUUGUACACAAAAAUAUGGUUGUUUCACAAAUCCAAACAUAUUUUAUUUUUAUGUGCAAGGAAAUUAAGCAAUUUACAAUCAGUAAAUGAAUCUAGGGAGCAAAUGGAUAAAUGGUUAGGAUCUUGCAAAAAAAUACCCCAGUAAAACUUACACAUACACAACUGUUGAUCUUCUCCUACUAUUCUCCUUAUAUACAAUAUUAAUUUGUAACACAUCAGACUCUCCAAAAUUUUUGAGAUCUCUAAAGAUAAAAUGAUGUUCUUCAGUGCCAGCGCCGCUUCUUCUUAGCCUAAAACAUACCCCCUCUGUCCCACAAUAUAAGAUGUUUUUGCAAGCUAUGUUAGCUUGCAAAGACAUCCUAUAUUAUCGGACGGAGGGAGUAGCACAACGACAUUCUAAGAACCAUAAAACCAAGCAAAAACGUCAGCAGCAAGGGAAAAGGGUGACAACUGCCUUCAGAUGUUAUUCGCUACGGCCUAUAGCAAAUUUUCUAGGCAAUAAAGGUAAUGCUAGCUCAACAUGCAUUUCAUAAAAAAUGAAUUACAAAUCACAAUGAAAAAGUAUUUGACGACUUAAAGCAAACAAAUACUAAUCUUUGUUGUUUUCUUUUCCAUUUCAGUAAGAAACAAAAUGAGUACACGAGUCAUCCCCAUGAAAUGCAUGAACAAAGCAAGCAGGAGCAACAAAAUUAAAGCAAACUUCUUACUGGGUUGGCAACUCAUCCAAGUAUUUUUACAUGGACUAUCAUAAUUGUUAAAAAUAAUUCUGUAAUUGGGGGAAAAUCUCCCCUUGCCCAAAACCGUCGUUGCGGUUUGUCCCACAACCAAUGUCUCCCUUCGAUCUCCUGGAACCGACGCCUCCUCGAGGAAUCGUCGUGUCUCUUCGGGAGAUAUAAAAGGGGGCCUGUAACCGUCGAUCAAAGGAUUCAAUCAUUCUGAUUCAAAACACGUUAUCAGCACGUAGAACAACCAGCGAGAGCAAAAGGCAACAGAGAAAGGAUAAGAGAGGAAUCACUCGCCGCUGGUGAGAUGACAGGCUCGUCUCCUUCUUCCUCCAUCUGAUCCGCGAGGAUGGUCGCCGCUACUGCCUCAUUGCCCUUCGCCGCCAUGGAGUUGGUGGCCACCGCCGUUUCCGUCGACGGAUGCAAGCCAUCCGACGGUUCAGCCGGAGCGCCGCUGGACGUGCCGCCCCUGGCAGCCACCGUGCCGCUGGAUGCGCCCGUCGUGGUGCUCACCACGCCCCUGGACACGGUCCCCGUGCUCCCGGACGCGCCCACUGCGGUGCUCCCCGCGCCCGUGGGCAAGCGUCCAUGGGGUACGACCCUUGGCUGGUGGCCGGCCCGAGCGCCCCCAUGAUGCACGGGGCUGCUACCGCGCCUGCCCUGCCCACUGGGUCUCCGCCUCCACCACCUCCUCCGCCGGCCGCAUGGAUCCCACCGUCAACACUGACCCCUGAUGCCGUGGCCGCUGGCCUGAGCCUCCGCCCGCCUGGCUACGCCCCGGUGCCGAUGCGCUCGACGGUGAAUGCAGAGGAAGCGCUCGCCUUCAUCUCCGCUCCAUCCGGCGCCUCUGGUGUCGUCCGCCUUGGAGUUGGCAUGGAGGGCACCGCCGCCGCCGGCACGCCUCAACAGGAGACAGCCGCGGGCUCAAGCAGCCGCGCGGAGCGGUGCUUCGGCCGCCUCUUCAGGCACGCCGUCGCAGCCCUCGACCGCCGCCCCGGCCGUCACCCAGGCUCAUGGGCUCCGGCGGACCACGGUUUCACCGCUACUCCACUGCCCCAGGCCUCCACCAUCGUCGUCUCCUCUUCAGAUGAAGAGGCCUCAUCGGUGUCGUGUCGCUGACACCUGAAGAUGCGAGGGGAGGUGCCGGCGCUCGCCCCAAUCGCUGGCGACUGGGCUCCCUGCUACUUGCGAGCGCAUGGGGUGGUGGGGGAUCGAGCGUGGUGCGGGUCGGGCGAUUCCUUAUCCGUAACCGCCCCACCUCUCGCCUCCUCUCUUAUGCGUGGGUGGCUGCGGGCUGGUCUCGGUCGGCGGUGGCAGGCCCAGGCGAUCGGCAUACUCUCUUCAAGUUUUUUUUCUUUCUCUAUUUUUAUUAGUCUAGUACUAAUUAUUGUAUUUGUGUUAGUACUGUUUAGUACAUAGAUUGACUACUACUUACAUUUUAGUCAUGUUCUAGAUUCAUUCUAUGUUAGGACUUGUGUAAUUAUUAGUAGGUUUGUUUAUAUUAUGUAAUGGAUUGAUAAUAUAAAUAAAGUACCAGAUUUCAUCUGGGAAGAAUGACAUGUUCCAUGUGUUUACCACAUCUUAUUUUUAUCGAACAUGUCUUUGCGAUUCAGAUCUUCUCUUGCAUAUCAAACUUGCAAAUUUUUGAAUGUUUCUCCCUCAUCUUAUUUGGAAUCACAAGGUAAUGAGUUGUGAUCUACUGCUCAUUUGUAGACUAUCCUCUCUUACUGUGAGGUCUACGCUUUGUCAUUCUCGACAAACGAUUACCUCCAACGUGUAUUCCUUAUAUCUGAAUUGUAGCAUACACAAGGUAAUGGCGAAGUAGCCUAUUACUGUGAGAUCCAAGUGAUCUUCAAAGUGUUAUGUUCACACAAUUGAGGUUGAGAAUUUUUCAAGUUUACACUUGAGUAUCAAAUUUUUGCAUUCUUAUUACACAACCAUGAUGGUUUUUAAUUUACCACCCGUAAAUUAAUUAUCUCUGGUUUUCCCAUGUAGGCAAAGAUGACUGCCAAAGAAUUUGAGGAGCUUGCCCUCAAUGGCCACAAUUACCCUACAUGGGCUAUGGACAUCAAGAUCAGUCUUGCUUCCCGUGGGAUAGCGCGUGCAAUACAAACCCCGGAGACUCCUCUCCCGGAUGGGGCCACGCCGCUGACAGAACAGCAGAACUAUGCUGCAUUAUUCAUCAUAAGGCACCAUAUUAAUCCAGAUCUCAAGUAUGAGUAUUUACAGGAGGAAUCUCCUAGUACUCUGUUUCUGGCCCUCAAAACAAGGUAUGAACAGCAGAAGGCAGUAGUCCUGCCCGAAUCACUCCAUGAUUGGACUCAUCUUCGUCUUCAGGAUUUCAAGUCCAUCGGUGAGUACAAUCAUGCUGUUCAUAAGAUAUGUUCCAAACUGUGCUUUUGUGAGAAGGAACCUACUGAGGGGGAGAAGAUAGAGAAAACUUUGUCUACUAUGCUCCCAUCCGAUAGGAUGCUCCAACAGCAAUACCGUGCUCGUAACUACACUGCCUAUUCCGAGCUUAUUCACAUGUUACUUCAGGCUGAAAAGCAUGAUGAGCUACUCGCUAAGAAUGGCUCUCAACGCCCAGUUGGUGCACAACCUUUACCUGAAGUCUAUCUGAAUGUUGCAAAUAGACAGAAGUUUAAUGGUACCCCUCGGGGUAAACAAUCCAAUUUCGAGCAUAAGCGAAAGCGCAAUGGGAACAGGAGAUCUAGAUACCCAGGCAAGGGAAAAGGCACUUCAAAGCCCAGGUUUGAUAAAUCUAAGCUUUGCAACAAGUGUGGAUGCUCCACGCAUUCUACUGAAAAGUGCACAAUGCCCAAGCAUCUGGUUAUGUUGUACUAGCAAUCUCAGGGAUGCAAAGCACCUCAAGGGAAAAGGUUUGAAGCCAACUUGAACCUUCAUCCGGAUAGCGCAAAAGGAGCAGUUGGUUCGCACAAUGUUCCUCCUGGACCGAGCAACGCCGUGAUUCCUUAUCUGCCUGAGGCUACUGCUGAAAUGGAGAACACGUUGAUUGAGUACACCGCAAACAACGUGUUUGGCGACUUCGACUAGUCCCUCAAUCUCCUAGUGAUCUACUCAAUUAUGUCCAUUUGUGAUGAUUGUAAUAAGAACAUAAGUUUGUUAUUGUCUUUAUAUUGUAUUGUAUCAGCACAUUUGAUAUAAUAAAGAUUGUAUCCUAUAUAUUACUAUGAGGUUUUCUUAUUGAAAAUUCUUUGUUUUAUAUAGUUUUCUACGGGGACAAUCCGAUGGAAGAGGAAUUAUGCCUUGUGGACAGUUGUGCCACAAACUCCAUACUGAGGGAGAUGAAAUAUUUCCAAACUCUGACAAGACGAAUGGAGAUAUUCUAACUAUCGCUGGACGCGAUACUGUGAUUGUUGGUACUGGACGUGCCAUACUCACCCUCCCAAGUGGUACAUAUGUGACAAUUGAGGAUGCUUUACUGUAUCCCGAUUCUGCACGUACCCUGAUCAGUUAUCGAGAUAUCCGUAAAAAUAGUUUUCAUAUUGAAACCCAUGAAGACAACAAAGAGGAGUAUCUACUCUUUACUAAAGAUGACGGAUAUGGCAAAAAGGUACAUGAGAAAAUUCCUUCUCUGUCGUCUGAUUUGUACUAUACGUACAUCAUACCCGUGGAACAUGUUGCAUACAAAGUAAUUUUUUAGAAUGUUAACGCAUUCCAAACCUGGCAUGAUCGCCUAGGCCAUCCUAGAAUAGGGAUGAUGAGAAAAAUUACUAGCAAUUCCAUUGGUCAUAAUUUGCUUGAGUCAAAAUUUCCUCAAUCUUCUGAUUUUGUGUGCCACGGGAAAGCUAAUUUUGAGGCCCUCACACCUCAAAAUACAAGCUGAACCACUUCAGUUCCUUGAACGUAUUCAAGGAGACAUUUGUGGUCCCAUUCAAGCAUUAUCUGGACCUCUCCGGUAUUUCAUGGUUCUGAUUGACGCAUCUACACGAUGGUCACAUGUGUGUCUUCUAUCCACAUGAAACCAUGCAUUUGCCAAGAUAAUGAGGCAAGUCAUUAAGUUGCAAGCCCAUUAUCCUGAUAGUCGAAUUAAGUCAAUUCGAAUGGAAAAUGCUGCAGAAUUCUCCUCACGUGCUUUCAAUGAUUAUUGCAUGGCUUUGGGGAUUGAAGUUCAGCACUCUGUUCCAUAUGUCCAUACACAAAAUGGUUUGGCUGAAGCAUUGAUUAAGAGGAUCAAACUCAUUGCAAGACCUUUGUUGACGAAUUGCAACUUGCCAACCUCUUGUUGGGGUCACGCUGUUUUACACGCUGCUGACUUGAUACAAUUGAGGCCAACUGCAUAUCACAGUUCUUCCCCUCUGGAAUUGGUACGUGGAAAUCCUCCAAGCAUUUCCCAUCUGCGUAAGUUCGGAUGUGCUGCAUACAUCCUGAUCUCACCACCACAGCGGACAUCUAUGGGCCCACACAGGAAGUUGGGGAUCUAUGUGGGGUACAAAUCGCCGUCGAUUAUUAAGUACCUGGAACCCCUGACUGGGGAUAUGUUCACAACCCGUCACGCUGAUUGCAUAUUUAAUGAGGAACAUUUUCCGGCAUUAGGGGGAGAUUUCAAGUACCAGAAAGAAUGCCCGGAAAUUGAUUGGAAUGCUCAUUCCAUUUCAUCCUCUGAUCCACGUACCCAUGAGACCGAACUUCAAGUUCAGAAGAUCAUUAAUUUGCAACAUCUUGCAAAUAAUCUGCCAGAUUCAUUUACUGAUUUGAAAGGUGUUACAAAAUCCUUAAACCCGGCCAGAAACGCGCCAGAAAGAGUGGAGGUACCAAUAAAAACCACUCAACUCCCUAUCCCUAAAAAGAGGGGGAGUAGUACGGCCUCUGACCCGGAGCAUGUUUCUAGCAAGCAGCAAAGGAAAUCGAGGAGAAAAACCUCAGAGUCAGUAAAUGCAGGUCAACUCAACGUUGACAAACACCUGACGGGUAGUAUACACCCAGUGGAAGGGCAACCUCCACAACCCAGUUCCAGUGUGCACAAACUGACUGGGACAUCGGAACACCCAGACUCGAUCGUAUUGGGAAAUCACGAAGAGUCACUAGGGGUGCAGGAAAUUUCCAUCAACUAUGUUGAUUCUGGAGAAUCAUUUGACCAUAAGACUACGACUGUCGACAUAUAUUUUGCUGAAAGAUUGCAGAUACCCUUCUCACUGAUCAUGAUCCAAGGUCUAUCGUUGAGUGCCAAAAGCGCUCCGACUAGCCUAAAUGGAAGGAUGCAAUCCAAGCAGAAAUUGCCUCGCUUAACAAAAGAAUGGUAUUCAUUGAAGCAGUACCUACACCUCCAAGUGUUUUCCCUGUGGGAUUCAAAUGGGGUUUUCUCCGGAAACGGAAUGAGAACAAUGAGGUGGUGAGAUAUAAAGCAAGGCUCAUAGCACAAGGUUUCAUGCAGAAACCCGGCAUUGAUUUCACUGAAACAUAUUCUCUAGUAAUGAGUGCAACCACUUUCCGAUAUCUUAUAUCUUUGGCAGUGCAAAAUCGUCUAUCUAUGCAGUUGAUGGACGUCGUGACCGCAUAUCUUUAUGGGUCACUAGAUUCGGACAUAUAUAUGAAGGUUCCUGAUGGAAUCUCUGUCCCGAAUAAAAAUGCAAAACGCAACACUAUUGUGUAAAGCUGAAUAAGUCACUAUAUGGCUUAAGGCAGUCGGGACGGAUGUGGUACAACCGACUCAGUGAGUUCCUUCUUCGGAAAGGUUACUCCAAUAGUGCUGAUUGCCCAUGUGUUUUCAUCAAGAAGUCCUCUACAGGAUUUUGCAUCAUUUCUGUGUAUAUUGAUGAUCUCAACAUCAUUGGCAGCACACCAGACAUUGAUGAAGCACGCAAUCAAGUAAAGAUGGAAUUUGAGAUGAAGGAUUUGGGUAAAACCAAAUUUUGCUUAGCUAUUCAACUUGAGCAUCUUCCCUCGGGAAUCAUGGUACACCAAUCUGCCUAUAUCCAGAAAAUAUUGGAGAAAUUCAAUAUGGACAAAUCCUAUCCAUCUAAAACUCCCAUGGUGGUUCGAUGUCUAGACGUAGAGAAAGAUGGAGAAGAGGUGUUGGGACCUGAAGUUCCAUACCUUAGUGUUGUUGGAGCGCUUAUGUAUCUUGCAAAUUGCACAAGACCUCAUAUUGCAUUUGUAGUGAAUCUACUUGCUAGACAUAGCCCAGCUCCCACCAAACGUCAUUAGUUUGGAGUGAAGAAUAUCUUUCGAUAUCUCCAAGGCACAAAGGAUCUUGGCCUAUUUUUCCAGUUCCAGAAAAAUCAGGACUCUGAUGUGAUUGGAUAUGCAGAUGCCGGCUAUUUGUCUGAUCCCCAUAAUGCCAGAUCUCAGACCAGCUUUGUUUUCCUACAUGGUGGCACUGCUAUAUCAUGGAAGUCUUCGAAACAGACUCUGGUGGCAACAUCUACCAAUCAUUCUGAAAUAAUUUCAUUAUUUGAAGCAACAUGCGGAUGUGUAUGGCUUCGCAUAAUGAUGAACCACAUACAACAGUCAUGUGGAAUGGGUUCGAUAAAAUCACCUAGCAUUAUCUAUGAAGAUAAUGUGGCUUGUGUUGCGCAGAUGCAAACAGGAUACAUCAAGAGUAAUAUCACCAACCAUAUUUCUCCUAAAUGGUUUUUUCCCCAUAAUCUUCAGAAAAGCGAGGAAAUAAGCAUUCUGCAAGUCAAAUCAUGCAACAACCUUGCUGAUUUAUUUACCAAGUCUCUACCAAUUCUACAUUCCAAAAAUGUGUUCAUGGAAUUGGUAUGCGAAGACUUAGGGACUUGCAGGUGUCAGGGGGAGUCUCUUCUUGAGAUAUCCUCAUUUUAAUGACAUCACAUUAUGCUAUCUUUCUUUGUGAGUAUAUGUUUCAGGAUCUCAUCAAAGAUUUUAUGAAGAACUUUUGAAGGAGAAUCAUUUAAGAUGAUAGAGCUUCCCGGACAAUCGUGAAGAUGAUCUACAUGGGCAAGCAUAGAUUAGGGGGGGUGUUAAAAAUAAUUCUGUAAUUGGGGAAAAAUCUCCCCUUGCCCAAAACCAUCAUUGCGGUUUGUCCCACAACCGACGUCUCCCUUCGAUCUCCUGGAACCGGCGCCUCCUUGAGGAAUCGUCGUGUCUCUUCUGGAGAUAUAAAAGGGGGCCUGUAACCAUCGAUCAAAGGAUUCGAUCAUUCUGAUUCAAAACAAUAAUGCAAGACAAAUGAACUUGACAUAAAAACAACAAUGAUUGGACGCAUUACAUACAUCAUCAUGUGUAUGUGUAAUACAUGACCAUGUUUAGUGUUGCUGGAAGACCACUUUCCUUCUCAUCCUGGGCAACAACUUCAGCUUUGUUUUCACACAAUCUCUUUAUAGCAUAUGUCAGGGCAGUUCAUGGAUAAUCUGGAUAGUACUCACAUUUUCAUUCAUUUUUUCAUAUAAUGGUCAAAGAAAAAAAAGUACACUCAAUUUAUCAUUUAAUUAGAGCACCGGUUUAAUCCAUAAAGGCAGCGUGUAGAGCACUCUCUCACACACACAGAGGAAUGCUUGUAUUUCUUAGUUUUUCCACCUACCUAUGGCACAUCAUUUCAAGAAUAUAGUUGUUGAAGCAACUUAUAGGCAAAGCACGACUACUAUCACGACAUCCUUUUUGAGGACAAAGAUAAUUAAUAACACAACAUUCUAUGUCUCAUUGCUAUCUUAUUUAUUUGAUCAUUUUGGGAGCUUCAAUUCCUUGAGUAAUUCAGUGAAUGCCAUCUGCAAUGACCCAUUGUCGGCCAAUGCCAACACUCAUCUAGCCUUCUCCUUCGCUAAUGUCAGCCUCCCACUUAGAUUCUCCCCUUCUUCUCCAUGCCCUCAGCCUUCACAAGUUCCUUGCCAUACUUCUCCAUCACCUCCCCAACAUUCAUAUCAUCCACCACGAAUAUAAUUCAUAACAUUCAGGCGGUAAAGGUCAAUGUACACCAAACCGGUCAAAUAAAUAGUACUUUAGCAUCUCUCAAGGGAAGUUUCAAAUUUCACCUAAAAUUUUCAAUUAAAGUCAUGUCAAUAAUUUAAUCUUCUACCAAUAUUAAAUACUAUAUGAUAAAUGUGAUAGCUUAAAUUCAAAGUAAUAGAUUGGAUCCUCCCUUAACAAUAUGACUGGUAGAUAGUUUUGAGAGGAAAUCUGCAUAUAUUUUAGCAUAGACUUACCCAAAGAAGAAGUCAUUAUAACCGCUCAACAAAUGACCUAUAACAUCUAAUGUACCGAAGGGGAACAGAUCAGAUGACAUGUUUUUGUAAGUCCUAGGAUAACCAAAAAGCACAUCAUCAUGACAUGUCCUAAGUUGGAAGUGUGACACUUAUGACCAUGGUAUGUAAUUGAUAUAUUCCAGUUGGAAGUGUGUCAUCAGAUGCAAUGUGGAAGUGUGUCAUUAGAUGCAAUGUGGAGGGAAGAUAUCAAGGAUACUCAUCGGAGUAUAUAUGCGGUGGCACUGGAGCAGCUGAUUACCGGUAGGAGAACGGCAGCCCCACUCGUGUACUGGUCGGCAGUCACAACCAUGCAAUUGUACC
RNAcentral lists this long non-coding RNA (10591 nucleotides) under Triticum aestivum (bread wheat). RNAcentral describes it as "long non-coding RNA (TAES_LNC001604)". Lineage: Eukaryota; Viridiplantae; Streptophyta; Magnoliopsida; Poales; Poaceae. The record is from RNAcentral.